UCCAGCUCGCGCUCCUUCUCGCGCUCGCGUUCCUUCUCGCGCUCCCGCUCGCGCUCGCGCUCCUUUUCUUCGCGCGCGCGCUGCUCGGCCUCGCGCCGCACCUUCUCUACCAGGUCGGCCCGCUUCUUGGCCAGCUUGGAGCCCUCCAGCGGCACGAAGUACAGAUCGCUGCGCGCGCACGAGUUAAAGCCGCGGUCCAGGUGUUUGUUGAACCUGCCGGGCGCCGAGACCCUGCCUGAAAACCAGGCCCUAGAAAGGGAGAGCCUGGAAUCCCCCAUGCCCUACCCAUUCCUCUUUGGCACUGCCUGGUCACCUGACACUCUGGCCAGAGCCCUGAAGAUCUGACUGACAUCCAGACAGGCCACUUCCAUAAGCACUCGGGCUGUGGAGACCCCAUUCUCCUCUGCCCGGGCAGCUGGAUACAGAAACUUCUCUGCUUCACCCUAAGUUCCCCCCAGCUACAGCCUGGGAAGCAAGAAGUAGGCUCUCCAAGUUUUCAGCACCUGGAACUUGCAGGGUCUGUCUGCAGUGAAGCCUGUUGGAAAAAGACCAUCAGAGUCUCCAAACUGGACAACAGAGUCUGAAGGGGGUACUGCUGCACUUGUCAAGGGGCUGAGUGGGCAGCCCGGCCAUGACACACUGCUGGCUUGCCCAUGGGCCGCUCCAGCUGUCUGUAAGUGAGGGCAAUGUCAUCCCCUUCAUCUCUCGGGAAGGCAGAAAGCACAGGUGUUUCUAUGCGCCCCAAUUCAGGAGAUCACACUACUUCCCCCUUGGAAAUAUAUGCGCACACAAAAUUCCACAGAGCCUUACAAAAGAAGCACAAAGAGAUGUACCUGAAAUAUAAGCUGAUUUAUUGAGUGCCUUAUGUCAAGCCCUUAGAUGACAUAAAGUCCAAUUUCAUUUCAUAUUUACAACCCUGAAAGUGAAAUUCAUUCAGUCGUGUCCGAUUCUUU
Molecule: long non-coding RNA, 953 nt
Organism: Budorcas taxicolor (takin)
Lineage: Eukaryota; Metazoa; Chordata; Mammalia; Artiodactyla; Bovidae
Exons: 3
Source: RefSeq, a predicted model, not a curated record